GGAAACCUGAUUCCAGCCCUGGCCGGGUGUUGAAGAAAGGCUUUCGGGUGGUAAAGCCACUUUCAGCGAGGAAGAAAGGCUCUAAAGUUAAUACCCUUAGGAAUUGACGUUACUCGCGAAAGAGGCACCGGCUAAUUCCGUGCCCGCAGCCGCGGUAAUACGGAGGGUGCAAGCGUAAUCGGAAUUACUGGGCGUAAAGCGCGCGUAGGUGGUUUGUUAAGCGAGAUGUGAAAGCCCCGGGCUUAACCUGGGAACGGCAUUUCGAACUGGCAAGCUAGAGUGUGGUAGAGGGUAGUGGAAUUUCCUGUGUAGCGGUGAAAUGCGUAGAUAUAGGAAGGAACACCAGUGGCGAAGGCGGCUACCUGGACCAACACUGACACUGAGGUGCGAAAGCGUGGGGAGCAAACAGGAUUAGAUACCCUGGUAGUCCACGCCGUAAACGAUGUCAACUAGCCGUUGGGGAUCUUGAAUCCUUAGUGGCGCAGCUAACGCACUAAGUUGACCGCCUGGGGAGUACGGCCGCAAGGUUAAAACUCAAAUGAAUUGACGGGGGCCCGCACAAGCGGUGGAGCAUGUGGUUUAAUUCGACGCAACGCGAAGAACCUUACCUGGCCUUGACAUGCAGAGAACUUUCCAGAGAUGGAUUGGUGCCUUCGGGAACUCUGACACAGGUGCUGCAUGGCCGUCGUCAGCUCGUGUCGUGAGAUGUUGGGUUAAGUCCCGUAACGAGCGCAACCCCUAUCCUUGGUUGCUAGCAGGUAAUGCUGAGAACUCCAGGGAGACUGCCGGUGACAAACCGGAGGAAGGUGGGGAUGACGUCAGGUCAUCAUGGCCCUUACGGCCAGGGCUACACACGUGCUACAAUGGCGUAUACAGAGGGCUGCCAACUAGCGAGAGUGAGCCAAUCCCAUAAAGUGCGUCGUAGUCCGGAUUGCAGUCUGCAACUCGACUGCGGAAGUCGGAUCGCUGUAAUCGCGAUCGAAUGCGUGUCGCCNNNN
Molecule: ribosomal RNA, 998 nt
Filed under: Marinobacter litoralis
Lineage: Bacteria; Pseudomonadati; Pseudomonadota; Gammaproteobacteria; Pseudomonadales; Marinobacteraceae
Description: bacterial SSU rRNA
Rfam family: Bacterial small subunit ribosomal RNA
Source: RNAcentral